AUUGACGGAACGGCACCACCAGGCGUGGAGCUUGCGGUUUAAUUUGACUCAACACGGGAAAACUUACCAGGUCCAGACAAGAUUAGGAUUUACAGAUUGAUAGCUCUUUAAAGAUUUUUUGGAUGGUGGUGCAUGGCCGUUCUUAGUUCGUGGAUUGAUUUGUCAGGUUGAUUCCGGUAACGGACGAGACCCCAACCUACUAACUAGCUCUGGUUGCUACGCAGCUAGCCAGCUUCUUAGAGGGACUCUCGGAAUGAAACCGAAGGAGGUGGGGCAAUAACAGGUCUGUGAUGCCCUUAGAUGUCCUGGGCCGCACGCGCGCUACACUGAUGCAUUCAACGAGCCUACCCUGUGCCGAGAGGUAUGUUUAAUGUGCGAAACUGCAUCGUGAUGGGGCUAGAUUCUUGCAAUUAUGGAUCCUCAACGAGGAAUGCCUAGUAAGCGCGACUUAUCAAUUCGCGUCGAUUACGUCCCCGCCGUUUGUACACACCGCCC
RNAcentral lists this ribosomal RNA (495 nucleotides) under Rhizoclonium sp. JIAC-WT-filamentous 3. Its description in RNAcentral is "SSU rRNA". It matches the Rfam family "Eukaryotic small subunit ribosomal RNA", at positions 1152 to 1674 of the family's 1831-position model. The record is from RNAcentral. Lineage: Eukaryota; Viridiplantae; Chlorophyta; Ulvophyceae; Cladophorales; Cladophoraceae.